UACGGGGGGAGCAAGCGUUGUUCGGAUUUACUGGGCGUAAAGGGCGCGUAGGCGGUCAGCACAAGUCAGUUGUGAAAUCUCCGGGCUUAACUCGGAAAGGUCAACUGAUACUGUGCGACUAGAGUGCGGAAGGGGCAACUGGAAUUCUCGGUGUAGCGGUGAAAUGCGUAGAUAUCGGGAGGAACACCGGUGGCGAAGGCGGGUCUCUGGGCAAUUCCUGACGCUGAGGCGCGAAAGCGUGGGGAGCAAACGGG
Molecule: ribosomal RNA, 254 nt
Filed under: uncultured bacterium
Lineage: Bacteria
Description: partial 16S ribosomal RNA
Rfam family: Bacterial small subunit ribosomal RNA
Source: RNAcentral